This 502-nucleotide ribosomal RNA is filed under the name uncultured bacterium. RNAcentral describes it as "partial 16S ribosomal RNA". It matches the Rfam family "Bacterial small subunit ribosomal RNA", at positions 28 to 507 of the family's 1533-position model. The record is from RNAcentral.
GACGAACGCUGGCGGCGUGCCUAAUACAUGCAAGUCGAACGAACCGCGACUGAGUGCUUGCACUUGGUCAAGGUGAGUGGCGAACGGGUGAGUAACACGUGGGUAACCUACCUCAUAGUGGGGGAUAACAGUCGGAAACGACUGCUAAUACCGCAUAGGACAUAGGAUCACAUGAUCCAGUGAGGAAAGGUGGCGCAAGCUAUCGCUACGAGAUGGACCCGCGGUGCAUUAGCUAGUUGGUAGGGUAAAGGCCUACCAAGGCGAUGAUGCAUAGCCGACCUGAGAGGGUGAUCGGCCACAUUGGGACUGAGACACGGCCCAAACUCCUACGGGAGGCAGCAGUAGGGAAUCUUCCGCAAUGGACGCAAGUCUGACGGAGCAACGCCGCGUGAGUGAAGAAGGUCUUCGGAUCGUAAAGCUCUGUUGUUAGAGAAGAACAGCGCAUAGAGUAACUGCUAUGCGUGUGACGGUAUCUAACCAGAAAGCCACGGCUAACUACGUG